Molecule: long non-coding RNA, 459 nt
Filed under: Mytilus galloprovincialis (Mediterranean mussel)
Lineage: Eukaryota; Metazoa; Mollusca; Bivalvia; Mytilida; Mytilidae
Source: RNAcentral
AAUAAAGGCAACAGUAGUAUACCGCUGUUCAAACUCAUAAAUCCAUGGACAAAAACAAAAUCGGGGUAACAAACUAAAACUGACGCGUACGCAUAAAUAUAAGAGGAGAACAACGACACAACACUACAAUGUAACUAACACACACAGAAAUGGACCAAGCAUCAGACAAAAUCCCACGAGAAUAACAAAUAUAACAUAAAACCAAAUACAUGAAUUUGGGAUAGACAAGUACCGUGACACGUCUUAUCGCAAUGUCAAUUUACACUCAAAAAUAAGAGAAAACAAACGACACAACGUUAAAUUGUAACACACACAGAAACGAACUAUAAUAUAACAAUGGCCAUAUUCCUGACUUGGUACAGGACAUUUUUAAAGGAAAAAAUGGUGGGUUGAACCUGGUUUUGUGGCAUGCCAAACCUCGCACUUUAAUGGCAAUGUUAAAUAUAACAUAGAAAUGAC